UGGGGAAUAUUGGACAAUGGGCGAAAGCCUGAUCCAGCCAUGCCGCGUGAGUGAAGAAGGCCUUAGGGUUGUAAAGCUCUUUUGGCGGGGACGAUAAUGACGGUACCCGCAGAAUAAGCUCCGGCUAACUUCGUGCCAGCAGCCGCGGUAAUACGAAGGGAGCUAGCGUUGUUCGGAAUCACUGGGCGUAAAGCGCACGUAGGCGGAUUGCUAAGUCAGGGGUGAAAUCCCGGGGCUCAACCUCGGAACUGCCUUUGAUACUGACAAUCUAGAGUCCGAUAGAGGUGGGUGGAAUUCCUAGUGUAGAGGUGAAAUUCGUAGAUAUUAGGAAGAACACCGGUGGCGAAGGCGGCCCACUGGAUCGGUACUGACGCUGAGGUGCGAAAGCGUGGGGAGCAAACA
Molecule: ribosomal RNA, 402 nt
Filed under: uncultured bacterium
Lineage: Bacteria
Description: bacterial SSU rRNA
Rfam family: Bacterial small subunit ribosomal RNA
Source: RNAcentral